RNAcentral lists this ribosomal RNA (890 nucleotides) under uncultured soil bacterium. RNAcentral describes it as "SSU rRNA". It matches the Rfam family "Bacterial small subunit ribosomal RNA", at positions 605 to 1493 of the family's 1533-position model. The record is from RNAcentral.
GGGCUUAACCCGGGAAUGGCAUUGAAUACUGUGAUCUGAGGAUCGGAGGGGGACUGGAAUCUGGUGUAGCAGUGAAAUGCGUAGAUAUCAGAGGAACACCAGUGGCGAAGGCGAGUCCCUGGACGAUACCUGACACUGAGGCACGAAAGCCGGGGGAGCAAACAGGAUUAGAUACCCUGGUAGUCCCGGCUGUAAACGGUGCGCAUUUGCUGUAAACGGAAUCGACCCCGUUUGUGGCGAAGCUAACGCGAUAAAUGCGCCGCCUGGGAAGUACGGUCGCAAGAUUAAAACUCAAAGAAAUUGACGGGGGCCUGCACAAGCGGUGGAGUAUGUGGCUUAAUUCGAUGCAACGCGAAGAACCUUACCUGGCCUUGACAUGCAAGUGGUAGAACCAUGAAAGUGGGACGACCCCGCAAGGGGAGCUUGCACAGGUGCUGCAUGGCUGUCGUCAGCUCGUGUCGUGAGAUGUUGGGUUAAGUCCCGCAACGAGCGCAACCCUUGUGUCCUGUUGCCACUCGAACGAGAGUUCGAAGCACUCUGGACAGACUGCCUCGCUUAAACGAGGAGGAAGGUGGGGAUGACGUCAAGUCAGUAUGGCCCUUACGGCCAGGGCUGCACACGUACUACAAUGCCCGGCACAAAGGGAAGCGAGACCGCGAGGUGGAGCAAAUCCCCUAAAACCGGGCCCAGUUCAGAUUGAAGGCUGCAACUCGCCUUCAUGAAGCUGGAAUCGCUAGUAAUGGCGCAUCAGCUACGGCGCCGUGAAUACGUUCCCAGGCCUUGUACACACCGCCCGUCACAUCAUGAAAGCCGUUUGUACCCGAAGUCAUUGUGCCAACCGCAAGGGGGCAGAUGCCGAAGGUAUGGAUGGUGAUGGAUGAAGUCGAACA